GACGGAGGAUGCAAGUGUUAUCCGGAAUCACUGGGCGUAAAGCGUCUGUAGGUGGUCAAAUAAGUCAACUGUUAAAUCUUGAGGCUUAACCUCAAAAUCGCAGUCGAAACUAUUAGACUAGAGUAUAGUAGGGGUAAAGGGAAUUUCCAGUGGAGCGGUGAAAUGCGUAGAGAUUGGAAAGAACACCGAUGGCGAAGGCACUUUACUGGGCUAUUACUGACACUCAGAGACGAAAGCUAGGGGAGCAAAUGGG
This 253-nucleotide ribosomal RNA is filed under the name uncultured bacterium. Its description in RNAcentral is "partial 16S ribosomal RNA". It matches the Rfam family "Bacterial small subunit ribosomal RNA", at positions 524 to 776 of the family's 1533-position model. The record is from RNAcentral.